RNAcentral lists this long non-coding RNA (2039 nucleotides) under Setaria viridis. RNAcentral's name for it is "long non-coding RNA (SVIR_LNC006241)". Lineage: Eukaryota; Viridiplantae; Streptophyta; Magnoliopsida; Poales; Poaceae. The record is from RNAcentral.
UUAUGAUGAGGGUCGCACAUAUAUGUGGCUAUGGUCACAAUACGAAAGAAGAAAACGAGUGAGAAAAGGAAGAAAUAUAUGGAGCGAUUGGUGAUGAAUAGUGUGAUAGUAGAAGGUGGUCUUAAUAGGCAGAUUGUUGUAGUCCCUUGCGGCUGAGUAUGUUAAAAGGGCUAGAACAAAAGCCUUAUUCUGAUUUUCUUUAGUGUAGCAACAAUAACCAAAAAGCUGGUCCCCCUUAGGGUGUUGUUGAGGUGCCUUGUGCAUGGUUGAACUAUCCGGUAAGAAUCUUAUCCAUGAGUUAUCUAGGUGAGCAACAACAGCACCUUGCAUCCUUGGUGAAUGCAUUGUUACCUUUUUGUCGAGUGGUAUAAAUAGAUCAUUUAUUUCAAAACACAGUAUAGAUAUAGAUACUCAUAUAUAUGCACGUACACUCACCACUACAAAUAUAUACAUGCAAUUCUAUCCUAUAACCACAUCCGAAAAAUUAAGCUGGUAGAUCUUGAGAUUGACGAAAUCACCACAUGUACCUCUCUGUCGAUGGGCACACCACCUACCCUGAAAAGAACAACGUCAGUUAAUCCGAAAAUAAAUCUAGAAAAAUACGAACAUCCGUGCCAAACGAAGAACUCAAAUCCAGGUGGGCAGGUUCCACCGCAAGAAACUCUACAAGCUGAAUAGAAUUACACUCGGUUCGUUUUUAAGUAGAUUGCCCAAGUGGCCAUAACUAUUUGAGCUCUGAGGUCUUGGAAAGUAAUAAAGGUAGUAGUGAUAGGGUGAUAGCAGCUUAAGUGGUUGGAAUUUUGGAUGGGCCCAUCCCCGUUCAUUUCUCAAAGCACACGACACGGCACGAGAUCCCAGUCCACGAAAUAUCGCCGAGAAAUUUCCAAAUCAGCCGCCGCCGAUCCCGACCAUGUCCUCCGGCGACCUCGACGGCGCCGCCCUCAUCCUCUCCCUCCCCGAGGACGUACUCGCCCUGAUCUCCGCGCGCCUUUGCACCCGCGACCUCCUCGCGCUCUCCGCCGCCUCCCGCCGCCUCCGCCACGCGCUCUACGGCGGCGGCGCCGACAAGGCCUGGCUCGCGCAGUGCCGCCGCCUCCUCCCCUCGCCGCCCCACCUCCUCGCCUGGCGCGCCGCCGUCGGCGGAUCCUCCCUCGCCGUCUGCCGCUUCCUCCACUCCGCCGCGCCGCUGCUCGGCGCCCUCUGGGCCCACCAGAACCCCGAGCUCGGCAACCUCGUCGCCGCCGUCCCGGGCUUCCUCUCCGUCGUUGCCGCCCGCGCCAUCCCGCAGGAGCUCUCCCCGCGCCUCCGAUGGGCACCCGUCUUCGAGCUCCUCGCCGACGCCCACGGACGCCCCGCCAUCCUAUUCCUCCACGGCCACCAACCCGCCGACCUCUUCCCGGCCCGCCUCUCCUCCCUCCAGCCCCACGCCAACGUCCUCUUCCUCGAGGCCCAAACCGACCAGGACCCCAUCGCUGCCUCCUCCUCGCACCAGUUCCCCCGCCUCGCCUUCGGCGACCGCCGCCGCCUGCUCGACUCCCUCGUCGACGCCUGCCGCGUCACGCUCCCGCCCGACCUCGUCGCGGCCCCGCUCUUCGCGCGCUCCGAGGAGGACCUCCCGGUGCUCGCGGCGCGACGGGAGGCGAUGCUGCGGCUGCACAGGGAGGCUGGCGGGGGCAUGGUGCGCACGCCGGAGGUCCAGGGGCUCCUACUAGAAGCCAAGAAGAAGGCAGCGCCGUCGUCACCGAGCGACGGUGGGGAGAGGAUUCGCCUGCGGAGGAGCCUCUCCGCUGUAGCAGUGGCCGUCAGGAACGGCCUGCGCCAGAUGGUGACACGAUCAGUGUCAGCGAAUUCCAGGACUCAGUACAUCGACACCAAACAUCUGCUGUUGGCUGACUUCCUGCACACCGGUGAGAGUGUCGGCCUGAGCAUCCGCGGCGCGAGAAUGCGGCUGUCCACUUACCGUGCAUGGCCGAGCAUGCAUGACAACCGCUUUGCGCUCUACAAGCUCACGGUGCAACCGCCCGUGCCAGGAAGGGAGU